GACGAACGCUGGCGGCGUGCUUAACACAUGCAAGUCGAACGGAAAGGCCCUGCUUUUGUGGGGUGCUCGAGUGGCGAAAGGGUGAGUAACACGUGAGUAACCUGCCCUUGACUUUGGGAUAACUUCAGGAAACUGGGGCUAAUACCGGAUAGGAGCUCCUGCUGCAUGGUGGGGGUUGGAAAGUUUCGGCGGUUGGGGAUGGACUCGCGGCUUAUCAGCUUGUUGGUGGGGUAGUGGCUUACCAAGGCUUUGACGGGUAGCCGGCCUGGGAGGGUGACCGGCCACAUUGGGCCUGAGAUACGGCCCAGACUCCUACGGGAGGCAGCAGUGGGGAUUAUUGCACGAUGGGCGGAAGCCUGAUGCAGCAACGCCGCGUGCGGGAUGACGGCCUUCGGGUUGUAAACCGCUUUCGCCUGUGACGAAGCGUGAGUGACGGUAAUGGGUAAAGAAGCACCGGCUAACUACGUG
This 468-nucleotide ribosomal RNA is filed under the name uncultured bacterium. Its description in RNAcentral is "partial 16S ribosomal RNA". It matches the Rfam family "Bacterial small subunit ribosomal RNA", at positions 28 to 507 of the family's 1533-position model. The record is from RNAcentral.